Erpetoichthys calabaricus (reedfish) is the source of this 714-nucleotide long non-coding RNA. RefSeq lists it as uncharacterized. NCBI's taxonomy places the organism in Eukaryota, Metazoa, Chordata, Cladistia, Polypteriformes, Polypteridae. The transcript is spliced from 2 exons. The record is from RefSeq and is a predicted model, not a curated record.
ACCUUAAUAGUGGCCAAUAAAAUGGAGGGAUAUCCUAAGUAACCAUCUUGAUAGGAGUAACUCCAGGGGACAUAGUCCUAUAAAUUACAGUCCAUGACACAAGAAAUAGGAUCAUAAUGAGUGUUUUACAAGCAAGGGAUAACUGGGACCUUAAUAAACAAAGACUAGCUUAUUCAAAUAAAAUGUUUUGUGACAGAGAAUCUUAAGACUAAUUUAUAGUAAAACCCAUAUGGUCCCUAGCAGAUGUUAGUUACUUAUGCAGCCACACAUCCUUUUUAACACACAAAUAUGUGUUCUCAUGGGUUACAUUAUGGCACAUAAUCAUAAAUAAGAUAUCCACAUAAAACGUUGAAUGGAAAUGAAAGCUCUUGACCACAUCAGAGGAUGUCAAACAUGUGUGCAUGACAUUACAAACAGACCCUGUGGCCAGAAGAUUUUUGCACGCUUCUUCUCUGUCUACCAUAUUACUGCAGUUAACAAUGGCAUUUCUUAAGAGUGAAUAAUUCGAAGAGAAAGAUUUUGCAGAUGAGCCGAUAGAUAAAGUAGAGGUCUCACUGUUUAACCUAAAUACUAACGCCCAGGUAGGCUCCAUUUUAAGAAUCUUGAAAUGAACCUGAACAAUGACAAUUGCAAAAUCUAAAUCAUCAGUCUAUUUUCAGAUCCCACUAUUUUCUUUUUCAUGUGCAGUAGUACAGGAUAGAGUUCCAGGUUUUA